This 336-nucleotide ribosomal RNA is filed under the name uncultured bacterium. Its description in RNAcentral is "bacterial SSU rRNA". It matches the Rfam family "Bacterial small subunit ribosomal RNA", at positions 1152 to 1482 of the family's 1533-position model. The record is from RNAcentral.
CCGGUGUAAAUCGGAGGAAGGUUGAAGGAUGACGUCAAGUCAGCAUGGCAGUUACGUCUGGGGCUUCACACAUGCUACAAUGGGCGCAACAAAGGGCAGCAAAACCGCGAGGUGGAGCCAAUCCCAAAAAUACGCCCUCAGUUCAGAUUGCAGUCUGCAACUCGACUGCAUGAAGGCGGAAUCGCUAGUAAACGCAGGUCAGCUAUACUGCGUUGAAUACGUUCCCGGGUCUUGUACACACCGCCCGUCAAGUCACCUGAAUUGUCUUCACCCGAAGUCCGUGGCCUAACCUGCAAAGGAGGGAGCGGCCGNAAGGUGAGGGGGGUAAGGGGGACU